Molecule: long non-coding RNA, 189 nt
Organism: Drosophila kikkawai
Lineage: Eukaryota; Metazoa; Arthropoda; Insecta; Diptera; Drosophilidae
Source: RefSeq, a predicted model, not a curated record
UCUAAAGCGAACAUGAGGGCUAUAAGUACUAUAGUUCUGGUCGGCUUGGCCUUUUUGAUGGCUGCCCGACGAGGUCCCACGUUUUCCAAUCUGCAAAAUGGUCUGCCAUAUCCCAUCUUGGGAUUGACACCCUAAACAUAUCAAUAAAGAAUCAUCAUUAUGCGAAGUUCGCUGUGAAUAUUUAAAGAA